This 465-nucleotide ribosomal RNA is filed under the name uncultured bacterium. RNAcentral's name for it is "partial 16S ribosomal RNA". It matches the Rfam family "Bacterial small subunit ribosomal RNA", at positions 28 to 507 of the family's 1533-position model. The record is from RNAcentral.
GACGAACGCUGGCGGCGUGCUUAACACAUGCAAGUCGAACGGAAAGGCCCUGCUUGCAGGGUACUCGAGUGGCGAACGGGUGAGUAACACGUGGGUGAUCUGCCCUGCACUUCGGGAUAAGCCUGGGAAACUGGGUCUAAUACCGGAUAGGAGCCAUUUUUAGUGUGAUGGUUGGAAAGUUUUUUCGGUGUAGGAUGAGCUCGCGGCCUAUCAGCUUGUUGGUGGGGUAAUGGCCUACCAAGGCGGCGACGGGUAGCCGGCCUGAGAGGGUGGACGGCCACAUUGGGACUGAGAUACGGCCCAGAUUCCUACGGGAGGCAGCAGUGGGGAAGAUUGCACAAUGGGCGCAAGCCUGAUGCAGCGACGCCGCGUGGGGGAUGACGGCCUUCGGGUUGUAAACUCCUUUCGCUAGGGACGAAGCUUUUUGUGACGGUACCUAGAUAAGAAGCACCGGCUAACUACGUG